UCCCUGGUGGCUCAGAUGGUAAAGCAUCUGCCUGCAAUGCAGGAGAUCUGGGUUCAAUCCCUGGGAUGGGAA
RNAcentral lists this transfer RNA (72 nucleotides) under Ovis aries (sheep). It matches the Rfam family "tRNA". Rfam says of the family: Transfer RNA (tRNA) molecules are approximately 80 nucleotides in length. Their secondary structure includes four short double-helical elements and three loops (D, anti-codon, and T loops). Further hydrogen bonds mediate the characteristic L-shaped molecular structure. tRNAs have two regions of fundamental functional importance: the anti-codon, which is responsible for specific mRNA codon recognition, and the 3' end, to which the tRNAs corresponding amino acid is attached (by aminoacyl-tRNA synthetases). tRNAs cope with the degeneracy of the genetic code in two manners: having more than one tRNA (with a specific anti-codon) for a particular amino acid; and 'wobble' base-pairing, i.e. permitting non-standard base-pairing at the 3rd anti-codon position. Lineage: Eukaryota; Metazoa; Chordata; Mammalia; Artiodactyla; Bovidae. The record is from Rfam by way of RNAcentral.